GCCUGUGUGGCUCAGUGGUAGAGCCUCAACCUAUGAACCAGGAGGUCAGGGUUCAAUUCUCUGCCAGGGCA
RNAcentral lists this transfer RNA (71 nucleotides) under Myotis davidii. It matches the Rfam family "tRNA". From Rfam's summary of the family: Transfer RNA (tRNA) molecules are approximately 80 nucleotides in length. Their secondary structure includes four short double-helical elements and three loops (D, anti-codon, and T loops). Lineage: Eukaryota; Metazoa; Chordata; Mammalia; Chiroptera; Vespertilionidae. The record is from Rfam by way of RNAcentral.